GAUGAACGCUGGCGGCGUGCCUAAUACAUGCAAGUCGAGCGAACAGACGAGGAGCUUGCUCCUCUGACGUUAGCGGCGGACGGGUGAGUAACACGUGGAUAACCUACCUAUAAGACUGGGAUAACUUCGGAAAACCGGAGCUAAUACCGGAUAAUAUAUUGAACCGCGGGGUUCAAUAGUGAAAGACGGUUUUGCUGUCACUUAUAGAUGGAUCCGCGCCGCAUUAGCUAGUUGGUAAGGUAAAGGCUUACCAAGGCAACGAUGCGUAGCCGACCUGAGAGGCGGAUCGGCCACACUGGAACGUAGACACGGUCCAGACUCCUACGGGAGGCAGCAGUAGGGAAUCUGCCGCAAUGGGCGGAAGCCUGACGGAGCAACGCCGCGUGAGUGAUGAAGGUCUUCGGAUCGUAAAACUCUGUUAUUAGGGAAGAACAAAUGUGUAAGUAACUAUGCCCGUCUUGACGGUACCUAAUCAGAAAGCCACGGCUAACUACGUG
This 497-nucleotide ribosomal RNA is filed under the name uncultured bacterium. Its description in RNAcentral is "partial 16S ribosomal RNA". It matches the Rfam family "Bacterial small subunit ribosomal RNA", at positions 28 to 507 of the family's 1533-position model. The record is from RNAcentral.